AGAGUCUUUCAAUUGUAGUUUUGAAUGAUUUUCUGUAUUUAGAUGUUUCCAGAAAUGCAAAUGAAAACAUGAAGUUCUUCAUUUCAAUCAAAGAAGAUAAAGUUUCUUGUUCUCCAAAUUUAGUUCUUGAUUCUUGAACACUAUAAAACUCGAGGUCAAGUAAUUCCACUAACACAAUAUAAAAUACACUAAGUCACAAUAGAAUUUAAAUUUUGUUAAAUCAACAUUAUAGUGUGAGGUUUGGUUAACUGACCUCACUCAUUUGAAAGGUAGGAGCAAGACUAAGAAACAUUAGCAAGUUGUCUAAGGAGCAAGGACAACAAUAACAAACCAUGAUAUACAAAGAAUAUUUCCAUUUUGAAUUCCAAUUCCAUAAAAAGUAGGAAUCAAAACUUAAAAUAAAAGGCCAAAGAUAUUUUGAACACUUCUCUAAAUUUGUCAAGGCAACAUGAGGAUUUUGUAUGCGCUAACUACAUUUUCAUGCAAUUAGAUAAACAACAUCCUAGGAAAACUGUAAAUAAAGUGUCAUAGACAUGAGAAAAAAUUACUAAAAUGAA
RNAcentral lists this unclassified non-coding RNA (557 nucleotides) under Hevea brasiliensis (rubber tree). Lineage: Eukaryota; Viridiplantae; Streptophyta; Magnoliopsida; Malpighiales; Euphorbiaceae. The record is from RNAcentral.